GUCAACAACCACUACCCUAAAGGGAUAGUGGCUUGUAGGUAACUAUAAGCCACAUGUUGACUAGACUAAGCAUUAACUUGCUACGUUAUAUAAGCCAUCAUACCCGUGGACGUUUGUCCUAAUCUACGGCUCUAUGGUUUAGUAUUAAACAGUUCUGUGUGGUACGGAACAGUGUGCUAGGCAUGACAAACUUAUAUAACAUUGUCUAAGGAUUUUUAAC
Peptococcaceae bacterium BRH_c23 is the source of this 220-nucleotide non-coding RNA. Lineage: Bacteria; Bacillati; Bacillota; Clostridia; Eubacteriales; Peptococcaceae. The record is from Rfam.